Molecule: long non-coding RNA, 294 nt
Filed under: Nicotiana benthamiana
Lineage: Eukaryota; Viridiplantae; Streptophyta; Magnoliopsida; Solanales; Solanaceae
Description: long non-coding RNA (NBEN_LNC013747)
Source: RNAcentral
UAAUUUCAUCCAUAGUGAUUUCCUUAAUCAGUGCUCUUUGCUGAUCAAAAGAAAGGCAUAUUCCUUCCUUAACAGUAGCAGAAUUAAGACAUGGCAAUUCAGCAGGACUAUCACCCAUCAGUGAUUUAAACACCUCAAUAAAUUCCUGCUCUACAGGCACAGGAUCUGUUAGUUUUACACCAGUUUCAGUAUAGAUAGAAGUGAUAUUGUUCUGACUGGUUCUUAUCCUCCAUUGUGCAUGAAAGUAUUUGGUGUUGGCAUCACCACAAUCAAUCCAGUUAGCCCUUGAUUUCU